GCCGGCGUAGCUCAGUUGGUAAGAGCGUAGGAUUCAUAACCCUAAGGUCGGUGGUUCAAUUCCACCCGCCGGCA
RNAcentral lists this transfer RNA (74 nucleotides) under Candidatus Eiseniibacteriota bacterium. RNAcentral describes it as "tRNA-Met". It matches the Rfam family "tRNA". From Rfam's summary of the family: Transfer RNA (tRNA) molecules are approximately 80 nucleotides in length. Their secondary structure includes four short double-helical elements and three loops (D, anti-codon, and T loops). Further hydrogen bonds mediate the characteristic L-shaped molecular structure. tRNAs have two regions of fundamental functional importance: the anti-codon, which is responsible for specific mRNA codon recognition, and the 3' end, to which the tRNAs corresponding amino acid is attached (by aminoacyl-tRNA synthetases). tRNAs cope with the degeneracy of the genetic code in two manners: having more than one tRNA (with a specific anti-codon) for a particular amino acid; and 'wobble' base-pairing, i.e. permitting non-standard base-pairing at the 3rd anti-codon position. Lineage: Bacteria; Candidatus Eiseniibacteriota. The record is from RNAcentral.